AGAUUGAACGCUAGCGGGAUGCUUUACACAUGCAAGUCGAACGGCAGCGCGGACUUCGGUCUGGCGGCGAGUGGCGAACGGGUGAGUAAUAUAUCGGAACGUGCCCAGUAGCGGGGGAUAACUACGCGAAAGCGUGGCUAAUACCGCAUACGCCCUACGGGGGAAAGGGGGGGAUCGCAAGACCUCUCACUAUUGGAGCGGCCGAUAUCAGAUUAGCUAGUUGGUGAGGUAAAGGCUCACCAAGGCGACGAUCUGUAGCUGGUUUGAGAGAACGACCAGCCACACUGGGACUGAGACACGGCCCAGACUCCUACGGGAGGCAGCAGUGGGGGAAUUUUGGACAAUGGGCGAAAGCCUGAUCCAGCAAUGCCGCGUGCAGGAAGAGGCCUUCGGGUGUAACU
Molecule: ribosomal RNA, 401 nt
Filed under: uncultured soil bacterium
Lineage: Bacteria
Description: bacterial SSU rRNA
Rfam family: Bacterial small subunit ribosomal RNA
Source: RNAcentral